AUCUUUUUUAUUUAGUAUAUAAAAGAAAAAAAUUAAAUUGUUAUAGUUUAAUAGUACUGUGAAGGAAUUUGAUUAAAUAUAUUAUCUAUAGUUUUUUUUAAGUAUGUUUAAUUUGCAGUACCUUUUGUAUCAGGGUUGAUUUAAUAAUUUAAUUUAUUUUUACAUCUCGAUUUUAUAGGAGCUAAAUUAUUAUUUUAGUUAAUGUUGCAUAAUYAUUAUUUAAUAAUUUAGAGGAGAAAUUUUAUUCGAUUAUAAAGGUAUCUAGUUUUUUAAGAAUUAAAUUUAAUUUAAUCCUAGUAAUUAAUUGNUUUAUUUUUAUAUAAAUUAUAUAUUAGGUUAAAUACUAUAGGGGAUAAGCUCUAUAUUUUUUUAUAAGGGUCUAUUUUAAUUAAUUUUUGUAGGUUAAAAAUAUCCUCAUUAGUAAGGGGGUAUAAUUUAUUUUUAUUAUUAAUUAAUUUUAUUUUCUUUAAUUAUUUAUUAAAAUACCAAUAUUAACUUUCURUUUUGGGAAAUAAUGGUUAAAUUAGUAUAAAUAAAUGUUUAUUAUAUUAUUCAUUUUAUGAUAAAAUAAGGAGCUCGGCAAAUAUAGUUCUCGCCUGUUUAUCAAAAACAUGUCCUUUUGGUUUUAAUUGAAGGUCUGACCUGCCCAGUGAUUAAUUUAACGGCCGCGGUAUACUGACCGUGCAAAGGUAGCAUAAUCAUUAGUCUUUUAAUAGAGGGCUGGAAUGAAAGGUUUAACGAGGAACUACCUGUCUCAUUUUAUUUGUUUUAAAAUUUAAUUUUUUAGUUAAAAAGCUAAAAUUCUAUUGGAAGACGAGAAGACCCUAUAGAUCUUUAUAUUAUUUUGUUUAAUUUUCUUUAUAUAAAUAUAUUUAUAUAAAAUUUUAUUUUGUUGGGGUGACAAAAAUAUAGUAUUAACUUUUUUAUUUAUAUAACAUUGAUUUAUGAUUAUUAGAUCCAAUAUUUAUUGAUUAUUAGAACAAGUUACCUUAGGGAUAACAGCUGUAAUCCUCCUCCAGAGUUCAUAUUUACAGGAUGGGCUUGCGACCUCGAUGUUGGAUUAAGAUGAUAAUUAGGUGUAGCUGCUUAAUUUAUAGGUCUGUUCGACCUUUAAAUUCUUACAU
Molecule: ribosomal RNA, 1124 nt
Filed under: Notiothemis robertsi
Lineage: Eukaryota; Metazoa; Arthropoda; Insecta; Odonata; Libellulidae
Description: partial 16S ribosomal RNA
Source: RNAcentral